Molecule: long non-coding RNA, 824 nt
Filed under: Oryza sativa tropical japonica subgroup
Lineage: Eukaryota; Viridiplantae; Streptophyta; Magnoliopsida; Poales; Poaceae
Description: lncRNA OsKeNa_03g0004080
Source: RNAcentral
GCUUCCUUUUUGGCCAUCCAUGAAAUUGAUCUUUAUUUGCUGGCCUGUCUUGCCAUAUUUCAGCGGUGCAGCCUAUGUGUACCAAAAUUAUGUGAUAUCUGUGUUUAUAAAGAACCAGAUAGUAAAUAUUUGAGAAAAAAGGGUCUUUCCGGUAAAUUUGAUGACUUCCUCACGGCACUUGAUAAGUUUAUUGAAGAAAAUGGACCUGAAGAUCUCAAUAAACUGACAAAGAAGAGUCAAAAGCCAUCGAACUCGAAAGAAGAUAUGAAGGCAGCGAAGGAUUCAGAAGAACAAAAUAAGCGCAAGAAAGGCUCAGAAGAACAAGGUUCACUAAAGGAUUCAGAUGAACUUGAACAAAAGAGCAACAAGAGUGUGGCAUUUGAGCCGGAGAAGGAAUUGAAGUGUGACUGCUAUCCAACCUCUGCUUAUCAGAGCACAUAUCCGAAACACAACUCAUGGAGCCUCUUUGCUGCCUCAUGAUCUUUGAGGAUGAAUAGUUACUGCAACUAGAGGUCUCUAGACAUGUAACCCCUGAACUCAACAAAUAUAUUUUUCGUUGCAGUCUUGAUCAUGUCAACUUACUUGAUCAUUGCAUUUCUUUUACGGGCCAAAGAAGAAAAAUUCAGCCCGGUGUAGAGAGCCUCUUUGAUUAGGUAGCAGUCUCCAGGAGCCAUUUCAUCAAGAAAGCAAGGAAAAUGGAACUCACCUCCUUGUCACAAGUUUGUCCUAUGUCAAUUGUUAUGACAUGUCAUCAUGUAACAUAUUUCUCCAAUAUACACCAGUAGAUGAGUAAUGUAGAAAUCUGCCAUGUUUGGUUGGUGAUG